CUACGGGCGGCAGCAGGCGAGAAAACUUUGCAAUGUGCGAAAGCACGACAAGGUUAAUCCGAGUGGUUUGUGCUAAACGAACCUUUUGACAGUCCUAGAAACACUGUUGAAUAAGGGGUGGGCAAGUUCUGGUGUCAGCCGCCGCGGUAAAACCAGCACCUCAAGUGGUCAGGAUGAUUAUUGGGCCUAAAGCAUCCGUAGCCGGCUCUGUUAGUUUUCGGUUAAAUCUGUACGCUUAACGUACAGGCUGCCGGGAAUACUGCAGAGCUAGGGAGUGGGAGAGGUAGACGGUACUCGAUAGGAAGGGGUAAAAUCCUUUGAUCUAUUGAUGACCACCUGUGGCGAAGGCGGUCUACCAGAACACGUCCGACGGUGAGGGAUGAAAGCUGGGGGAGCAAACCGGAUUAGAUACCCGUGUAGUC
RNAcentral lists this ribosomal RNA (422 nucleotides) under uncultured archaeon. RNAcentral's name for it is "partial 16S ribosomal RNA". It matches the Rfam family "Archaeal small subunit ribosomal RNA", at positions 323 to 746 of the family's 1478-position model. The record is from RNAcentral.